This 444-nucleotide ribosomal RNA is filed under the name uncultured bacterium. Its description in RNAcentral is "bacterial SSU rRNA". It matches the Rfam family "Bacterial small subunit ribosomal RNA", at positions 354 to 796 of the family's 1533-position model. The record is from RNAcentral.
GUAGGGAAUAUUGGGCAAUGGUCUGAAGACUGACCCAGCCAUGCCGCGUGCAGGAAGACGGCCCUCUGGGUUGUAAACUGCUUUUAUCUGGGAAGAAAAAGGCCAUGCGUGGCAAAUUGCCGGUACCAGAUGAAUAAGCACCGGCUAACUCCGUGCCAGCAGCCGCGGUAAUACGGAGGGUGCGAGCGUUGUCCGGAUUUAUUGGGUUUAAAGGGUGCGUAGGCGGCUGAUUAAGUCAGCGGUGAAAGACUUCGGCUUAACCGGAGCAGUGCCGUUGAUACUGGUUGGCUUGAGUGUCGGAGGGGUACAUGGAAUUGAUGGUGUAGCGGUGAAAUGCAUAGAUACCAUCAGGAACACCGAUAGCGAAGGCAUUGUACUGGCCGACAACUGACGCUGAUGCACGAAAGUGUGGGGAUCGAACAGGAUUAGAAACCCUUGUAGUCC